UGGGGAAUAUUGGACAAUGGGGGCAACCCUGAUCCAGCCACGCCGCGUGAGUGAUGAAGGCCUUCGGGUUGUAAAGCUCUUUUGGCGGGGACGAUGAUGACGGUACCCGCAGAAUAAGCCCCGGCUAACUUCGUGCCAGCAGCCGCGGUAAGACGAAGGGGGCUAGCGUUGUUCGGAAUUACUGGGCGUAAAGCGAGUGUAGGCGGUUGCCGUAGUCAGGUGUGAAAGCCUUGAGCUCAACUCAAGAAAUGCACUUGAUACUGGGUGACUAGAGGACCGGAGAGGAUAGUGGAAUUCCCAGCGUAGUGGUGAAAUACGUAGAGAUUGGGAAGAACACCAGUGGCGAAGGCGGCUAUCUGGACGGUUACUGACGCUAAGACUCGAAAGCGUGGGGAGCAAACAGGAUUAGAUACCCUGGUAGUCCACGCCGUAAACGAUGGGUGCUAGACGUUGGCGAGCUUGCUCGUCAGUGUCGCAGCUAACGCGUUAAGCACCCCGCCUGGGGAGUACGGCCGC
This 516-nucleotide ribosomal RNA is filed under the name uncultured bacterium. RNAcentral's name for it is "partial 16S ribosomal RNA". It matches the Rfam family "Bacterial small subunit ribosomal RNA", at positions 355 to 889 of the family's 1533-position model. The record is from RNAcentral.